UGAGAGUCACCAUUUCUCUCAACCGUCCUGCAAAGACAACACCAAGUGCUGGCUCCUCUCCCAAGCCAGGGACUGUGUGCUGAGCCUGAGCUAAGGAUGUCAUGAAAAUUGGUCAAGAGCGAUGUCCUUACACCUGGGACUUGGGGUGGAGUCUGGACCUGUCACCUCAGCGCUUGGGAGGCAAAGCAGCAGAAACACUAUAAAUUACGCCGUAAUUUCUGGUAGUACUGCAUGGUUCUUUUUCAGAUUUUCCUCCACGUCUGUACACUCAUGCUUCCAGAAUGAAUGGCAGCUGUAACCUCAUCACUACUGCUAUUGGGAUUGCAAUAAUCUACGAAAACAAGACUCAUGAAUGGUGUGCAAUGUUGUCGCGUGACUUUCCUGUGGAGACAUGAAGUCGUCUCUUCAUCCCGGGUAGGGCACUGACAACAGAUCAAAAACGAUUCCACCGUCUCUCUGCCUGCUGCCUGUGGAUUGGGAGGUGACGUUCUUGGCUAAUGCUCCAGCACCAGGCCUGUCUGCUUCCUGC
This is a long non-coding RNA of Arvicola amphibius (Eurasian water vole), 529 nucleotides long. RefSeq lists it as uncharacterized. The transcript is spliced from 3 exons. The record is from RefSeq and is a predicted model, not a curated record. Lineage: Eukaryota; Metazoa; Chordata; Mammalia; Rodentia; Cricetidae.